RNAcentral lists this ribosomal RNA (492 nucleotides) under uncultured bacterium. Its description in RNAcentral is "partial 16S ribosomal RNA". It matches the Rfam family "Bacterial small subunit ribosomal RNA", at positions 29 to 507 of the family's 1533-position model. The record is from RNAcentral.
AGUGAACGCUGGCGGUAGGCCUAACACAUGCAAGUCGAACGGCAGCACAGUAAGAGCUUGCUCUUACGGGUGGCGAGUGGCGGACGGGUGAGGAAUACAUCGGAAUCUACUUUUUCGUGGGGGAUAACGUAGGGAAACUUACGCUAAUACCGCAUACUACCUACGGGUGAAAGCAGGGGAUCUUCGGACCUUGCGCGAUUGAAUGAGCCGAUGUCGGAUUAGCUAGUUGGCGGGGUAAAGGCCCACCAAGGCGACGAUCCGUAGCUGGUCUGAGAGGAUGAUCAGCCACACUGGAACAGAGACACGGUCCAGACUCCUACGGGAGGCAGCAGUGGGGAAUAUUGGACAAAGGGCGCAAGCCUGAUCCAGCCAUACCGCGUGGGUGAAGAAGGCCUUCGGGUUGUAAAGCCCUUUUGUUGGGAAAGAAAAGCAGCAGGUUAAUACCCCGCUGUUCUGACGGUACCCAAAGAAUAAGCACCGGCUAACUUCGUG